GGGAAUGUGGCUUAAUGGAAGAGUGCUUGCCUAGCAUGCAUGAAGCCCGGGUUCAAUUCCUCAGUACCA
Molecule: non-coding RNA, 69 nt
Organism: Dipodomys ordii (Ord's kangaroo rat)
Lineage: Eukaryota; Metazoa; Chordata; Mammalia; Rodentia; Heteromyidae
Source: Rfam